UCCUUAUCAAGAGCGGCUGAGGGAUCAGGCCCUGUGAAGCCCGGCAACCUGCCUUGUGUAUAGGCAAGGUGCUAAGUCCUGCGGUGUGAUAGCCGGAAGAUGAGGC
Eubacteriaceae bacterium CHKCI005 is the source of this 106-nucleotide regulatory RNA element. It matches the Rfam family "SAM riboswitch aptamer (S box leader)". From Rfam's summary of the family: The SAM riboswitch is found upstream of a number of genes which code for proteins involved in methionine or cysteine biosynthesis in Gram-positive bacteria. The SAM riboswitch acts at the level of transcription termination control. The predicted structure consists of a complex stem-loop region followed by a single stem loop terminator region. The record is from Rfam. NCBI's taxonomy places the organism in Bacteria, Bacillati, Bacillota, Clostridia, Eubacteriales, Eubacteriaceae.